This 465-nucleotide ribosomal RNA is filed under the name Triticum aestivum (bread wheat). RNAcentral's name for it is "partial small subunit ribosomal RNA". Lineage: Eukaryota; Viridiplantae; Streptophyta; Magnoliopsida; Poales; Poaceae. The record is from RNAcentral.
AUGAGGGAGCUGGUGGGGAGGCCCGGGACGUGGGGCGGGCUCUGGCUGCGGCUCGGCCAAGCCGCGCUCGCCGCCGCCUCCAUCGCCGUCAUGGCCUCCGCCAACGGCUUCGCCGGCUACACCGCCUUCUGCUAUCUGAUUGCAUCGAUGGGAUUACAAGCGCUCUGGAGCUUGGGGCUUGCAUGUCUUGAUGGAUACGCCCUUAAAGUCAAAAGAGAUCUCAACAAUGCUGUUUUAGUGAGCUUAUUUGUAGUCGGAGACUGGGUUACUGCGAUUCUCUCGUUUGCUGCAUCGUGCUCAGCUGCUGGUGUAACAGUUCUUUUUGAGAGGGACAUUUCUUUCUGCAGAAGAUAUUACGAACUGCCUUGUGGGAGAUUUCAACUCGCGACGGCAUUCGCUUUUCUGUCCUGGGCGCUAAGUGCUACAUCAGCGGUCAUCAUGUUUUGGCUCCUGGCAUCCUUCUGA